Molecule: long non-coding RNA, 1547 nt
Organism: Brassica rapa (field mustard)
Lineage: Eukaryota; Viridiplantae; Streptophyta; Magnoliopsida; Brassicales; Brassicaceae
Source: RefSeq, a predicted model, not a curated record
AGUUUUAAUAAGAUAGAUGUGGGCAUUAAAUGGGAAGAGGUGCGUGAGUAAUGAAGAUACCCGAGUAGUUCAACUGUUCAAGUAACCUUUUUGACUAAAGUGGAAAGCAUUGCGUGAAAAACAAUCUGUAACCGUCAACUGUGACUUAACUACAAAAUUAAAAGAAAAAAAAAAAGAACAAAGAGAAGAAGAAGAAUUGAAACGUAAAAAGGGUUUCCCCGUGCCAAAAGAGUAAAAAAUAUGAGGCAAAGAAUCUGAUGAUUACAAACUCAUAUAUCUUUGAUGAAAUCAUUUAUAUAUUUGAGACAUUGGGUGCGAAGAAGUUGGCCUAUUUGAAACCUUGAACUCUUUCUUGGUUGAGGUUGAUGUUACACAUGGGCUUGCCCCAUCUCACCGUUACGAUUGGACUUUUUAAGUGGAAUAAGGAUCUGUUUUUGGGUUUAACAUGAGACAAUAGGUAGGCCUUCUUCAAGUGUACCAUAUUUAUCGGAUUGGCUUCAACCUCAUUGCAAUCAGCCGAUACGCCAUGGGACCAUCUUAAGCGCUGAAAUAGAUUCUUUUCGGGGAAAACAAAUCUUGCUGGGAAUAUAGGUCAUUCAAAACAUCUUUUUUAAUAUCAGGAGAUUCGAGGCCUACACUCGUAAUUUUCACAAACUCGAAACCACAAUAAAUAAUAUUAGUUUCGUCAAAGCCGUCACUCGAACUAAAGUUCGAACCUUUGACAUAUUGACAAAAUUCAUUUCCAAUUUAGAUAUGACCACUGGUUAACUAUUCACUUAUUAAUUAUUAUGCAAGACCAUUUUUUCAAAGAAGCUUUAUCAAUCUCAAAAUGAAAUAUGACUGUUUUCUAAAGUUGUGUGCGGUAACAAGUCUUGAAUAAUGACAAUGACAUACAAUAGUCUUAUGAUAUGUUACGUUUCAACCACCAAGAUUUAGAGCAUCUCCAACUCAUUGCCAUUUUCACUUCUAUAAUAGCAUUUAGAGGUGAAAUUGCUCCAACCCAACUCUAUUUCUUCCUCUAUAAUAGAGAUCUCUAUUUUUUCCUCAAUUUAUAGAGGAAGAAGUAGUAUUCCUCUAUUUUUUACUCUAUAUUUUAGAGAUUACUAUUUUAGGGGAAUACAUUGGAGCAUAUCUCAUCUCUAUUAUAGAGCUUCGCUAUUUUAGAGGUGAAAAUAGUAAAAUACAUUGGAGAUGGUUUAGUGAUGUUUGGUUUGAGAGCCGUUGAUCGAGGUGGAGGGACAAUUACGUUGGUAGAAUACAUAUCUACCAUGUUGCCAUACAAAGACGAAAUCAUACAUAAGAAAGCCACGGUCGUAAGAAUACACAAUACCCAAUAAACACACUAAGUGUAUUUACAAUCAAAUACAUAGCAUGACAACAGAGCUGUCCUUCACAACAUUGACACACAAGAGUCAAAAUGCUUACUACCUGUUUCAGACAUUUCGACUUUACAUAAAUUACAUUAGCCCUUAGUACCAGACAUACAUUAUCUAAAUCAACAACCAAUCAUCAGCAUUCCCAAUGAUACCGAUGAUCCACAACAAACC